Molecule: ribosomal RNA, 393 nt
Filed under: uncultured bacterium
Lineage: Bacteria
Description: partial 16S ribosomal RNA
Rfam family: Bacterial small subunit ribosomal RNA
Source: RNAcentral
AUACGGAGGAUGCGAGCGUUAUCCGGAUUUAUUGGGUUUAAAGGGUGCGUAGGCUGUGCGUUAAGUCAGGGGUGAAAUGCCGUCGCUCAACGACGGAGCUGCCCUUGAUACUGGCGUGCUGGAGUACGGAUGCCGUUGGAGGAAUGAGUGGUGUAGCGGUGAAAUGCUUAGAUAUCACACAGAACACCGAUUGCGAAGGCAUCUCACAAAUCCGUGAUUGACGCUGAGGCACGAAAGUGUGGGGAUCGAACAGGAUUAGAUACCCUGGUAGUCCACACUGUAAACGAUGAUAACUCGCUGUUGGCGAUAUACAGUCAGUGGCCAAGCGAAAGCGAUAAGUCAUCCACCUGGGGAGUACGUCGGCAACGAUGAAACUCAAAUGAAUUGACGGGG